GAAGACGACCAUAAUAGUCAGGAAACACCUGAUCCCUUUCCGAACUCAGAAGUUAAGCUGGCUAUGUUGUAAGCAUUAGUUUCCGAAAGGAAGUGAAACUUAUAAGUUGUCUUCG
RNAcentral lists this ribosomal RNA (115 nucleotides) under Candidatus Pacearchaeota archaeon. The record is from RNAcentral. Lineage: Archaea; Nanobdellati.